GUUGACCUCGGAUCAGGUAGGAAUACCCGCUGAACUUAAGCAUAUCAAUAAGCGGAGGAAAAGAAACCAACAGGGAU
Molecule: ribosomal RNA, 77 nt
Filed under: Cordyceps fumosorosea
Lineage: Eukaryota; Fungi; Ascomycota; Sordariomycetes; Hypocreales; Cordycipitaceae
Description: partial 28S ribosomal RNA
Rfam family: Eukaryotic large subunit ribosomal RNA
Source: RNAcentral